Molecule: long non-coding RNA, 790 nt
Organism: Neofelis nebulosa (Clouded leopard)
Lineage: Eukaryota; Metazoa; Chordata; Mammalia; Carnivora; Felidae
Exons: 3
Source: RefSeq, a predicted model, not a curated record
CUAGAAUCUUACAUAUGCUAAUAAGCUUUUGACUGCAAUUUCGUGGUACGGUAUUUCCUGCUGGCAUCUUGGUGGUCCCACGGAGCUCCCCACCCUCCAGUGAAGGUGGCUGUCCACAACUACCACCGUUGAAACCAAAAUGGCCCCAAAGGGCCCUCAGCUCCUCAGGUCACUCCUCUGGCCUCUCCGGAUGGUGCCUCACCUUGUUGACCUGGGACAGUGGGGUCCUCACGGCUCCCGCAGGCAGCCGGCCCCGGCUGCUGUCUUCAAACAGCCUACCAGGACAGGAAGAGAAAGAGGACAACAAAAGAAAAUCAAGCUUCCUGGUCUCAGUGCAGGUUUUUACUGCCAGACCCUGUGCUAAGCUCUUUAUGUGCCUCGACUCAUGACAGCUCCACAAGCUAAGAGCAGGCAUGACCCUCACAGCAGAGGCGAUGUGGAGACAGGGAGGCUGAGUGCCUGGCCUAAGCUAGGGAGAUGCAGAACUGGGAUUCCGACACAGGUCAGUUUGACAUCCUAAUCCCCACCCAGUAUCCUACUGACCUAAGUAUUUUGCAGAGUCUAUAAGGCACAGAAGGAAGUCUUCAUUUAGGGGAGGAGGCUGCUCAAAGGCCCUUGAUGCAAGGGAGCAAUUUUGAGAAAGCCUGUACUCAUCUGCCAAUUCUGUCUCACUCGUCGGCCUGGUGUUUGGUCACCUCUCCUUCCAGGUGGCUUUCCAAGCAUCUUUGUGGCACCCAAUACUGACGUGAGAGGGAUCAGGCCUGACAGAAUUAGAAAACUGAGCAGGACA